This 484-nucleotide ribosomal RNA is filed under the name uncultured bacterium. Its description in RNAcentral is "partial 16S ribosomal RNA". It matches the Rfam family "Bacterial small subunit ribosomal RNA", at positions 30 to 507 of the family's 1533-position model. The record is from RNAcentral.
AUUGAACGCUGGCGGCAGGCCUAACACAUGCAAGUCGAGCGGAUGAAGGGAGCUUGCUCCUGGAUUCAGCGGCGGACGGGUGAGUAAUGCCUAGGAAUCUGCCUGGUAGUGGGGGAUAACGUCCGGAAACGGGCGCUAAUACCGCAUACGUCCUGAGGGAGAAAGUGGGGGAUCUUCGGACCUCACGCUAUCAGAUGAGCCUAGGUCGGAUUAGCUAGUUGGUGGGGUAAAGGCCUACCAAGGCGGCGAUCCGUAACUGGUCUGAGAGGAUGAUCAGUCACACUGGAACUGAGACACGGUCCAGACUCCUACGGGAGGCAGCAGUGGGGAAUAUUGGACAAUGGGCGAAAGCCUGAUCCAGCCAUGCCGCGUGUGUGAAGAAGGUCUUCGGAUUGUAAAGCACUUUAAGUUGGGAGGAAGGGCAGUAAGUUAAUGCCUUGCUGUUUUGACGUUACCAACAGAAUAAGCACCGGCUAACUUCGUG